CACCGCCUGGGGAGUACGACCGCAAGGUUAAAACUCAAAUGAAUUGACGGGGACCCGCACAAGUAGUGGAGCAUGUGGUUUAAUUCGAAGAUACGCGCAGAACCUUACCAACACUUGACAUGUUCGUCGCGACUUUAAGAGAUUAAAGUUUUCGGUUCGGCCGGACGAAACACAGGUGCUGCAUGGCUGUCGUCAGCUCGUGUCGUGAGAUGUUGGGUUAAGUCCCGCAACGAGCGCAACCCUCACUUUUAGUUGCCAUCAUUUAGUUGGGCACUCUGAAAGAACUGCCAGUGAUAAGCUGGAGGAAGGUGGGGAUGACGUCAAGUCCUCAUGGCCCUUACGUGUUGGGCUACACACGUGCUACAAUGGUAUUUACAAAAGGAAGCAAGACGGCGACGUUAAGCAAAUCCUUAAAAAAUACCUCAGUUCGGAUUGCACUCUGCAACUCGAGUGCAUGAAGCUGGAAUUACUAGUAAUCGUGGAUCAGCGUGCCACGGUGAAUGCGUUCCCGGGUCUUGUACACACCGCCCGUCACACCGUGGGAGUUGGUUCUACCUUAAGGCAAGGUUUUAAACCCUUGACCACGGUAUAGUCAGCGACUGGGGUGAAGUCGUAACAAGGUAGCCGUAGGGGAACCUGCGGCUGGAUUACCUCCUUUCUAAGGAUGAGUGAAAUAUUAUUUCACUCUAAAUAAUAUACAGGCUAAUGUUGACCGUCCUCAUUUCUCUUCUUAAAGCAGUGUUUCUCUUGCAUGGGGGCCGGUAGCUCAGUUGGUUAGAGCACACCCUUGAUAAGGGUGGGGUCGAAAGUUCGAGUCUUUCUCGGCCCACCAAUUUAAGAUCUUGGGGGAUUAGCUCAGCUGGGAGAGCGCCUGAUUUGCAUUCAGGAGGUCAGCGGUUCGAUCCCGCUAUCCUCCACCAGAAACACUUAGUUAUAAAAAAUUGUGAAUAAAAAUAAUUAAUAUCAAUAUCUAUAUCCGAACAUUAGAAAUGUUAUUAACUAAUGUUCAAACAAAAAUUUGAUUCAACACAGAAUUUUUUUCUG
RNAcentral lists this small RNA (1044 nucleotides) under uncultured Pelagibacterales bacterium. RNAcentral's name for it is "bacterial SSU rRNA". The stretch from base 1 to 658 matches the Rfam family "Bacterial small subunit ribosomal RNA", at positions 867 to 1533 of the family's 1533-position model. The record is from RNAcentral. Lineage: Bacteria; Pseudomonadati; Pseudomonadota; Alphaproteobacteria; Candidatus Pelagibacterales.